RNAcentral lists this ribosomal RNA (492 nucleotides) under uncultured bacterium. RNAcentral's name for it is "partial 16S ribosomal RNA". It matches the Rfam family "Bacterial small subunit ribosomal RNA", at positions 29 to 507 of the family's 1533-position model. The record is from RNAcentral.
AGUGAACGCUGGCGGUAGGCCUAACACAUGCAAGUCGAACGGCAGCACAGUAAGAGCUUGCUCUUACGGGUGGCGAGUGGCGGACGGGUGAGGAAUACAUCGGAAUCUACUUUUUCGUGGGGGAUAACGUAGGGAAACUUACGCUAAUACCGCAUACGACCUACGGGUGAAAGCAGGGGAUCUUCGGACCUUGCGCGAUUGAAUGAGCCGAUGUCGGAUUAGCUAGUUGGCGGGGUAAAGGCCCACCAAGGCGACGAUCCGUAGCUGGUGUGAGAGGAUGAUCGGCGACACUGGAACUGGGACACGGACCAGACUCCUACGGGAGGCAGCAGUGGGGAAUGUUGGGCAAUGGGCGCAAGCCUGAUCCAGCCAGACCGCGUGGGUGAAGACGGCGUUCGGGGUGUAAAGCCCUUUUGUUGGUAAAGAAAAGCAGUAGGUUAAUACCCAGCUGUUCUGACGGUACCCAAAGAAUAAGCACCGGCUAACUACGUG